This 523-nucleotide long non-coding RNA is filed under the name Gallus gallus (chicken). RNAcentral describes it as "lncRNA (ENSGALG00010001882.1)". Lineage: Eukaryota; Metazoa; Chordata; Aves; Galliformes; Phasianidae. The record is from RNAcentral.
GUCCUGGACCCACAUUAUAGGAUUCUAUGAGGUCCUGUGGGGUCCUAUGGGGUAUUGGACCCACACUAUGGGAUCCUGUGGGAUCCUAUGGAGUCCUAUGGGGUCCUAUGGGGUCCUGUGGGAUCCUAUGGAGUUCUAUGGGGUCCUAUGGGGUCCUAGACCCACAUUAUAGGGUCCUAUGGGGUCCUGGACCCACACUAUGGGGUCCUGUGGGGUCCUAUGGGGUCCUGGACCCACAUUUUGGGGUCCUGUGGGGUCCUAUGGGGUCCUGGACCCACACUGUGGGGUCCUAUGGGUCCUGGACCCACACUAUGGGGUCCUGUGGGAUCCUAUGGGGUCCUGGACCCACGUUAUAGGGUCCUAUGGGGUCCUGUGGGGUCCUAUGGGGUCCUGGACCCACACUAUGGGAUCCUGUGGGAUCCUAUGGAGUCCUAUGGGGUCCUGGACCCACAUUAUAGGGUCCUAUAGGGUCCUAUGGGUCCUGGACCCACAUUAUGGGGUCCUGUGGGAUCCUGUGGGAUCC